This 276-nucleotide ribosomal RNA is filed under the name uncultured soil bacterium. RNAcentral's name for it is "partial 16S ribosomal RNA". It matches the Rfam family "Bacterial small subunit ribosomal RNA", at positions 26 to 285 of the family's 1533-position model. The record is from RNAcentral.
AGAAUCAACGCUGGCGGCGUGCCUCAGACAUGCAAGUCGAACGCGAAAGUCCCCUUCGGGGGGCAAGUAGAGUGGCGCACGGGUGAGUAACACGUAGGUAAUCUACCUUCGGAUGGGGAAUAACAAUCGGAAACGGUUGCUAAUACCGCAUAAUGCAGCGGCACCUAAUGGUGACAGUUGUUAAAGCGGGGGAUCGAAAGACCUCGCGUCCGAAGAGGAGCCUGCGGCGGAUUAGCUAGUUGGUAAGGUAACGGCUUACCAAGGCGACGAUCCGUA